RNAcentral lists this ribosomal RNA (408 nucleotides) under uncultured bacterium. RNAcentral's name for it is "partial 16S ribosomal RNA". It matches the Rfam family "Bacterial small subunit ribosomal RNA", at positions 28 to 526 of the family's 1533-position model. The record is from RNAcentral.
GACGAACGCUGGCGGCGUGCUUAACACAUGCAAGUCGAACGAAGUGGCGAACGGGUGAGUAACGCCUAAUCAACCUGCCCUUCAGCUGGGGACCACAGUUGGACACGACUGCUAAUACCGCAUACUGAAGGAGGGGAUUGCGCCUGAUGAGCUGGCUGGAGGGGUAACGGACCCCCAAGUCGCUGAUCAGUCGCCGGUCGGAGAGUAUUGUCGGCCACAUUGGGACCGAGACAAGGCCCAGACUCCUACGGGAGGCAGACGUGGGGAAGCUUCCGCAAUGGACGAAAGUAUGACGGAGCAACGCAGCGUGAGUGAUGACGGCCUUCGGGUUGUAAAGCUAUGUUGAUCGGGACGCGGUACCGGAAUAGAAAGCCACGGCUAACUACGUGCCAGCCGCCGCGGUAAUAC